This 253-nucleotide ribosomal RNA is filed under the name uncultured bacterium. RNAcentral describes it as "partial 16S ribosomal RNA". It matches the Rfam family "Bacterial small subunit ribosomal RNA", at positions 524 to 776 of the family's 1533-position model. The record is from RNAcentral.
UACAGAGGGGGCAAGCGUUGUUCGGAAUUACUGGGCGUAAAGGGCGCGUAGGCGGCCUGUUAAGUCGAACGUGAAAUCCCCGGGCUCAACCCGGGAACUGCGUCCGAUACUGGCAGGCUUGAAUCCGGGAGAGGGAUGCGGAAUUCCAGGUGUAGCGGUGAAAUGCGUGGAUAUCUGGAGGAACACCGGUGGCGAAGGCGGCAUCCUGGACCGGCAUUGACGCUGAGGCGCGAAAGCCAGGGGAGCAAACGGG